Molecule: long non-coding RNA, 331 nt
Organism: Oncorhynchus tshawytscha (Chinook salmon)
Lineage: Eukaryota; Metazoa; Chordata; Actinopteri; Salmoniformes; Salmonidae
Source: Ensembl
GGGGGAACCGGUACAGAGUCAAUGUGGAGGCUAUAUACAGGGUAUUACGGUACAGAGUCAAUGUGGAGGCUAUAUACAGGGUAUUACGGUACAGAGUCAAUGUGGAGGCUAUAUACAGGGUAUUACGGUACAGAGUCAAUGUGGAGGCUAUAUACAGGGUGUUACGGUACAGAGUCAAUGUGGAGGCUAUAUACAGGGUGUUACGGUACAGAGUCAAUGUGGAGGCUAUAUACAGGGUAUUACGGUACAGAGUCAAUGUGGAGGCUAUAUACAGGGUAUUACGGUACAGAGUCGAUGUGGAGGCUAUAUACAGGGGGUACCGGUACAGAGU